GUGACCUCGGAUCAGGUAGGAAGGCC
RNAcentral lists this ribosomal RNA (26 nucleotides) under Xylaria sp. PBA. RNAcentral describes it as "partial 28S ribosomal RNA". Lineage: Eukaryota; Fungi; Ascomycota; Sordariomycetes; Xylariales; Xylariaceae. The record is from RNAcentral.